Molecule: ribosomal RNA, 493 nt
Filed under: uncultured Actinomycetospora sp.
Lineage: Bacteria; Bacillati; Actinomycetota; Actinomycetes; Pseudonocardiales; Pseudonocardiaceae
Description: bacterial SSU rRNA
Rfam family: Bacterial small subunit ribosomal RNA
Source: RNAcentral
AGUAGUUUGAUCCUGGCUCAGGCGAACGCUGGCGGCGUGCUUAACACAUGCAAGUCGAGCGGUAAGGCCCUUCGGGGUACACGAGCGGCAACGGGUGAGUAACACGUGGGUGACCUGCCCUCCACUUCGGGAUAAGCCUGGGAAACCGGGUCUAAUACCGGAUAUGACUUCUGGGUGCAUGCCUGGUUGUGGAAAGUUUUUUCGGUGGGGGAUGGGCCCGCGGUCUAUCAGCUUGUUGGUGGGGUGAUGGCCUACCAAGGCGACGACGGGUAGCCGGCCUGAGAGGGUGAUCGGCCACACUGGGACUGAGACACGGCCCAGACUCCUACGGGAGGCAGCAGUGGGGAAUCUUGCGCAAUGGGCGGAAGCCUGACGCAGCAACGCCGCGUGAGGGAUGACGGCCUUCGGGUUGUAAACCUCUUUCGCGAUCGACGAAGGCCCACUUUGUGGUGGGUUGACGGUAGGUCGAGAAGAAGCACCGGCCAACUACGUG